RNAcentral lists this ribosomal RNA (278 nucleotides) under uncultured Halomicronema sp. RNAcentral describes it as "partial 16S ribosomal RNA". It matches the Rfam family "Bacterial small subunit ribosomal RNA", at positions 28 to 334 of the family's 1533-position model. Lineage: Bacteria; Bacillati; Cyanobacteriota; Cyanophyceae; Nodosilineales; Nodosilineaceae. The record is from RNAcentral.
GAUGAACGCUGGCGGCGUGCUUAACACAUGCAAGUCGAACGAACCUUUCGGGGUGAGUGGCGGACGGGUGAGUAACGCGUGAGGAUCUGCCCUUAGGCGGGGGACAACCAAUGGAAACGUUGGCUAAUACCCCAUAUGGCGAGAGCUGAAAGCUUAAUGUGCCUGAGGAUGAGCUCGCGUCUGAUUAGCUAGUUGGUGGGGUAAAGGCUUACCAAGGCGACGAUCAGUAGCUGUUCUGAGAGGAAGAUCAGCCACACUGGGACUGAGACACGGCCCAG